This 272-nucleotide long non-coding RNA is filed under the name Brassica rapa (field mustard). Its description in RNAcentral is "long non-coding RNA (BRAP_LNC004553)". Lineage: Eukaryota; Viridiplantae; Streptophyta; Magnoliopsida; Brassicales; Brassicaceae. The record is from RNAcentral.
CACUAAUACCACUUUCCUAAUACCACUUUUCAUUUAUACACUAAUCAAUUAUACCACCAGAUUUUUAAUGGUCAAAAUACCAUUGUACCCUUAAAUAAUUAAACCUAAACUACUCUCCUUCUUCCCCACGACAUGUGUCUCUCGCCGGAGAUAUCGGUCAGGUUUCUCUCGCCGGAGGUAUCCUCUCCGAUCCGAUCGGUGACUGUGAGAUCGCAAUUGAAUACGCCUCUCAUUUCAGGUAACGAUGAGUGAGGGAUUCGGACUGCUCUCUU